Molecule: transfer RNA, 76 nt
Filed under: bacterium
Lineage: Bacteria
Description: tRNA-Met
Rfam family: tRNA
About the family: Transfer RNA (tRNA) molecules are approximately 80 nucleotides in length. Their secondary structure includes four short double-helical elements and three loops (D, anti-codon, and T loops). Further hydrogen bonds mediate the characteristic L-shaped molecular structure. tRNAs have two regions of fundamental functional importance: the anti-codon, which is responsible for specific mRNA codon recognition, and the 3' end, to which the tRNAs corresponding amino acid is attached (by aminoacyl-tRNA synthetases). tRNAs cope with the degeneracy of the genetic code in two manners: having more than one tRNA (with a specific anti-codon) for a particular amino acid; and 'wobble' base-pairing, i.e. permitting non-standard base-pairing at the 3rd anti-codon position.
Source: RNAcentral
GUCGGCGUAGCUCAAUGGUUAGAGCGGAGCCCUCAUAAAGCUCAGGUUGCAGGUUCAAUUCCUGCCGCCGACACCA